This 73-nucleotide transfer RNA is filed under the name Paramuricea clavata. It matches the Rfam family "tRNA". Rfam says of the family: Transfer RNA (tRNA) molecules are approximately 80 nucleotides in length. The record is from Rfam by way of RNAcentral. Lineage: Eukaryota; Metazoa; Cnidaria; Anthozoa; Malacalcyonacea; Plexauridae.
GACCGUGUAGCUCAGUUGGUAGAGCGUCGAUCUAGUAAUUCGAAGGUCGCUGGUUCAAGACCCAGCCGCGGCA